CAGAUUGGGGUUCAGUCGGCACCUUCUACAUGACAUGGUGGAGUGUGCAUUACAUAAAGCCCCCAGGUUACAGACAGGACCCCUGGGGCCAGGAGAGGUGGGUGCCUUGUGAUCUGCGUCAUGGUGAGGAGGACUUCAGGGACAGAUGGCCAGGGAUGUUCCCAGGUGGUGGAGGAGGCUCCACUGGCAGAGAAGCAACGUCAAGCUGAAGACAUUGGGGUGCGAUGGCUGGCCAGGACAGCUUGUCUCCUCGUCCGCACACGGAACGCUGGAUUUCACUCUGUGACCCAGCCAGCGGUCUCAUCUCACAGCCGCAGCUUUCAGCAGGAAGGAGCCCACUGGUGCCUGCCUGACCUACGAGGGCCCGCACCGUUUUGCCCUCCUAACAUUUUGUAUUUGAAGUGCUUGUCACAGUCCACAAAAUAACCACUCAGAAUCUGUUACUAUUUUGUUUAUAUGUUGUAUCAAGUGAAUGUUAAUAAGUCAUCUAAGUGUAUGCUUUAGUUAUAAAUCUUGGAAAAAUAAAAACUUCCUUUUGGAGGAAAAGUGAACUUACUUUGGU
Molecule: long non-coding RNA, 562 nt
Filed under: Homo sapiens (human)
Lineage: Eukaryota; Metazoa; Chordata; Mammalia; Primates; Hominidae
Description: HSALNT0402415
Source: RNAcentral